RNAcentral lists this unclassified non-coding RNA (262 nucleotides) under Hevea brasiliensis (rubber tree). Lineage: Eukaryota; Viridiplantae; Streptophyta; Magnoliopsida; Malpighiales; Euphorbiaceae. The record is from RNAcentral.
AGAUUGAAAUUAGCAGUCCUCUUGCCCGGGAUCGGUCCACUAAUUACACUAGUAGACCAAUUCGAGAUCGGCACAAUCAGCACAAUCUCCCGCUUAAAUUUUUAAACAAAAUACACUAAGAGAUCGGGGGAGAGUCCUUACCGAAAUUCUCUUAGCUUAAAUCCAAAUUAAAAUAUCAAAACUCCAAAUAUGCGAAUUAACCCUCAACAAGAAUCUGUUACGUUGCAUCUAAUCACUAAAGGGUCAUCUCAUGUACUCGUGU